This 254-nucleotide ribosomal RNA is filed under the name uncultured bacterium. RNAcentral's name for it is "partial 16S ribosomal RNA". It matches the Rfam family "Bacterial small subunit ribosomal RNA", at positions 524 to 776 of the family's 1533-position model. The record is from RNAcentral.
UACGUAGGGUGCGUGCGUUGUCCGGAAUUAUUGGGCGUAAAGAGCUCGUAGGCGGUCUGUCGCGUCGAUCGUGAAAACUUGGGGCUUAACCCUGAGCUUGCGGUCGAUACGGGCAUGACUGGAGUUCGGCAGGGGAGACUGGAAUUCCUGGUGUAGCGGUGAAAUGCGCAGAUAUCAGGAGGAACACCGGUGGCGAAGGCGGAUCUCUGGGCCUUACCUGACGCUCAGGUGCGAAAGCUAGGGGAGCGAACAGG